GCUGGGCAUGGUGGUGCAUGCCUGUAGUCCCAGUUACUUGGGAGGCUGAGGCGAGAGGAUCACUUGAGCUCAGGAGUUUGAGGCUGUAGUGAGCUGUGAUGGCGCCACUACAUUCCAGCCUGGGUGACAGAGUGAGACCCUGUCUCGA
This 148-nucleotide signal recognition particle RNA is filed under the name Pan troglodytes (chimpanzee). RNAcentral's name for it is "Metazoan signal recognition particle RNA". It matches the Rfam family "Metazoan signal recognition particle RNA". From Rfam's summary of the family: The signal recognition particle (SRP) is a universally conserved ribonucleoprotein. It is involved in the co-translational targeting of proteins to membranes. Lineage: Eukaryota; Metazoa; Chordata; Mammalia; Primates; Hominidae. The record is from Rfam by way of RNAcentral.